This is a non-coding RNA of Salmo salar (Atlantic salmon), 55 nucleotides long. Lineage: Eukaryota; Metazoa; Chordata; Actinopteri; Salmoniformes; Salmonidae. The record is from Rfam.
UGCAUUCACUACAUGUAAGUUGCUCUGGAUAAGAGCGUCUGCUAAAUGACUAAAA